UUGAUUAAUUCAAUAUUUACUCAGACGCAAAGAUGCAGGGUUGAAUGGUCCACCGAGGGCCCCGGAGCCCCAGAAAGGGCCGGGUCGCCCCCGAGGCAACAGAGUCGGAAAACAUGGGGUUGGAGGUCGGGCCACAAGGACCCUCACUCAGUAAUGAUCCCUCCGCAGGUUCACCUACGGAGA
RNAcentral lists this unclassified non-coding RNA (183 nucleotides) under uncultured fungus. RNAcentral's name for it is "sequence contains ITS1". The record is from RNAcentral. Lineage: Eukaryota; Fungi.